This is a small nuclear RNA of Ochotona princeps (American pika), 105 nucleotides long. The record is from Ensembl. NCBI's taxonomy places the organism in Eukaryota, Metazoa, Chordata, Mammalia, Lagomorpha, Ochotonidae.
GUGCUCGCUUCGGCAGCACAUAUAUUAAAAAUUGGAACGAUACAGAGAUUAGCAUGACCCCUGCGCAAGGAUGACAUGCAAAUUCGUGAAGCGUUCCAUAUUUAA